GACGAACGCUGGCGGCGUGCUUAACACAUGCAAGUCGAACGGAAAGGCCCUGCUUUUGUGGGGUGCUCGAGUGGCGAACGGGUGAGUAACACGUGAGUAACCUGCCCUUGACUUUGGGAUAACUUCAGGAAACUGGGGCUAAUACCGGAUAGGAGCUCCUGCUGCAUGGUGGGGGUUGGAAAGUUUCGGCGGUUGGGGAUGGACUCGCGGCUUAUCAGCUUGUUGGUGGGGUAGUGGCUUACCAAGGCUUUGACGGGUAGCCGGCCUGAGAGGGUGACCGGCAACGUUGGGACUGAGAUGCACCCCGGACGACUGCUGGGUGUAGCAGGGGGGAUGAUGGCAUGAUGGGCGGAGGCGUGAUGCCGCAUCGCCGCGUGGGGGAGGACGGCGUGAGGGUAGUAAACCCCGUACGCCUGUGACGAAGCCUGCGUGAGGCGAAGGUGUAGAUAAGCAACGGCUAGUCACGGG
RNAcentral lists this ribosomal RNA (468 nucleotides) under uncultured bacterium. RNAcentral describes it as "partial 16S ribosomal RNA". It matches the Rfam family "Bacterial small subunit ribosomal RNA", at positions 28 to 507 of the family's 1533-position model. The record is from RNAcentral.